This 217-nucleotide ribosomal RNA is filed under the name Staphylococcus epidermidis Scl19. Its description in RNAcentral is "partial 16S ribosomal RNA". It matches the Rfam family "Bacterial small subunit ribosomal RNA", at positions 1 to 210 of the family's 1533-position model. Lineage: Bacteria; Bacillati; Bacillota; Bacilli; Caryophanales; Staphylococcaceae. The record is from RNAcentral.
UUUUAUGGAGAGUUUGAUCCUGGCUCAGGAUGAACGCUGGCGGCGUGCCUAAUACAUGCAAGUCGAGCGAACAGACGAGGAGCUUGCUCCUCUGACGUUAGCGGCGGACGGGUGAGUAACACGUGGAUAACCUACCUAUAAGACUGGGAUAACUUCGGGAAACCGGAGCUAAUACCGGAUAAUAUAUUGAACCGCAUGGUUCAAUAGUGAAAGACGG